RNAcentral lists this long non-coding RNA (8709 nucleotides) under Oryza sativa (Asian cultivated rice). RNAcentral describes it as "long non-coding RNA (OSAT_LNC001919)". The record is from RNAcentral. Lineage: Eukaryota; Viridiplantae; Streptophyta; Magnoliopsida; Poales; Poaceae.
GCAACUUGGGCACAAACGUCAAGGACUCCCAUCGCCGGCGCCGCCGUCCGAGCUCGAGCUCACCGGCUACGGCUGCCAUCGAGGACCACUUCCCUGAGCAGGAUACCGCCGCGCGCGCCCACGCGUAAGUAAAUUCUAUCGCCCUUUCUGAAAUGUAUCUCCCGUUGUCUGUAAUUUGGUAGAGAAUUAUUAGUGGCGGAUGCGAGUGAUACUCUGGAGAAUCUCCCAUUCAUCGUGUGAUGGAAACUAGCAGUAUAAUAUUUUUCUCACAAUUGGGAAUGCCAUUUAGCAGUUAACUCUGGUUGAAUUGGCUUCGGCGUCCAAAAAUUGCAACUGAACUUAACCGAUCUCCAGCUAGAAUUGUGGUUGCUGAGGAUUAGAUGGCACCUUUUUUUUUGGGGAUUGGUUUAAUUUAGUUUUCGACCCUCAAUUAUAAGAGCAUCUUUCCCAUCCUUACCAAAUCCUGACCAUUGAUCUGGCCUCAUCGGACGGUCCAAAAUCGAUGGUACCUCGUCGUACCGCACGUACGUAUCACAACAGUACCGUGUGUGGGAGGGUAGUUUUGUACUUUCGCGUUAUCUGUUUCCUUCUCUGUAUCGCGAGAGAAUAGAGCCUCGUAUUCGUCGGGCAGGAGCAGGAGACAAACAAACCCUAAAUGCCAAGGGCGAGCGAUGGCGGCCCAAAUCGGGAAGCCUUGGCGAUUCGACGGCUACGGCCGGCGUCGGCGGCGCUGGAUCGGUGGCGGUGGUGAUUCGUCGGCGACAGCGGACGCGACUUUUCUGGAUGCAACGGCGGCGCUGCAUCGGCGGUGGCGGCGGCGAAUCGUCGCCGACUGCGGGCAGCGGCCUCGAUGCGUAGGCGGCGCUGCAUCGUUGGCGGCGGCGAUUCGUCGGCGGGAGCCCGGCAAUGGUUGAAGCUAUGAUUCGUCGGUGACGGCGGGCGGCCGGGGCUGCAUCGUCGGCGGCGACGGUGAAUCGUCGGCCACUGCGGGCAGCGGCCUCGAUGCGUGGCACAACAUGCAGAGUGAGGGAGAAAACUGAUCCAUAAGGUGUGUGUUAAUUGGUUGCUUUUUGUGGUUUUUUAUUCAUUGUAUGGGUAUUAUAUAUUUCCCCCAAUAAAUCGGUGGUGAUAGAUUGAAAUUGUCAAAAUAGUUCAUACAGUUGGGACAAUCAGAACCGAUAGAUUCAAAGACAUGGUUGGAAAGAAAAAUUGAGAUGUAGACACAGUGUUGCAAUAUAAGUCCCUAAAUCCUAUUGGUAACUUGAGAUGUAGACGCUUCAUGUAGUUUGCCAUGUUCAGACUCAAGACGUCUUAUGUCUUCGUGGACUGAAAGUACUAUGUUCAAAGUAACAUUACAAUUUCAGUGAAUAAAACAAUAUUAGCUUUAUGAAGAGGUUAAUAACAAAUAGGACAACUUGCCUUAGGUAAACAGGGCAAGUUCUUAUUGUAUGUCCCGUCAAACGACAAAACCCACAUUUCCUCUUGCGUUUCUCCAAGAAACCUCUCAUUCUCUUUGUAGGAGCUCCUUUAGGGACAACUAGUUCUGGAUCAAGCACUUUCUCACUACUUUCAAUGUCAGUGCGCAUACUUUGACGAACCACAUGACCAAACUGAAUCUCAAAGUUGUCACAAUUUGCACUACAGUCAUCUUCAAGCAUCAAAUUAUCUAGCAUUUUCAUCACCUUCAGUGUACUUUCUUCUGUCAUGGAACAUCGGAAAAAAGCUUCACUAGCCACUGUUCGUAGUUGACGAUAGCGUUCCAUCUGGUCUGACCAUGUGUAAACUUCACCAUACCUAUCUGAAGGAAAUGCAGAUUUUGCUUGCAUUGUCCACCGUCGUGCUAUGCAGAAGCUUGGUAUGGCCUCUAACUGUAAAUAACUCAAAACUGCAAAUAUGUGAUGACAUGGUAUGUACUGACACUCCAUUUUCCGGCAAGGACAGGCCAUGCUACACAGUAAUGCUUCCUCAAACAUGCAGGUCACAAUGACAAUUUUAUCUUUUCCAAUCAAAUGCAAUACAUACCUUACACAUUGGUCCUCUUCGAUGGUAUCUAUUACCUCUCAAUUGAUGCCCAUGUAUAUCUCAACCUUCACCUUUUUGAAAAUUUUAGGCGUGAACACACGUGCUGCAUCCUUCUCAAUUAGUGUAGCUUCAUUAGCAGUAAAUGGUACCUGAUUGUGAAGCCUUUGCAUCCAACUCUGCCUCUUGGUGAUGGAUACGCGACAAACAAUGUUCAUAAUGCUCCACCAAAAUAACUAGGCUCAUCUUACGAUCCAACAACCUAUGAAGUUUUGAGUUCAAGCUUUCACUGCGUUGAUUGCUCUUCAUGCUGAGAAAAACCCUCCCUUUAGUGUAUGUUGCUGCCCACUUUUUCCUUAAAUUAUACAUCCUCUUCAACCACUUAUUGUCGUCCGAUACCUUAUGCUUAAUCUUAAACUCUACCCACUUUCUUUCAAACUCAUCUUCAUCAAACUCACUAUGCACAAGUGUUCUAAAAUCUGAAAGCAUGGCUGGACUAAGGUUCCGUGCCAUAUUUUGCUCAAUAUGCCAGGUGCACAACCUAUGGUCAGAAUUGGGAAACACAUGUAGGAUUGCCCGACGCAUUGCAUUGUCUCCAUCAGUGAUCACAGACUUGGGAUGUUUCUGACACAUACAAGUUAAAAACUGGCGUAGGACCCAUUCAUAUGUCUCAACCCUUUCAUCUGAAACUACAGCACAUGCAAAUAUCACAGUUGACCCAUGGUGAUUGACCCCAACAAAAGGAAUGAAGGGGAGAUUGUAUUUGUUUACACGAUAUGUGCUAUCAAACACAACAACAUCACCAAAUGCAUCAUAAUCUAUCCUUGAUUGCGGGUCCGACCAAAAUAGCCUCUUCAAGCAUCCUGCUUGGUCUAUCUCGUAAUCAUAAUAGAACUCCAUAUCAUCCUUCUGCCGUGCUUGCAUGUACUUAAGAACAUGGUCAGCAUCUCCACCUUUAAUCCGUUUCUUUUUCAGCUUCACAAAAAAAUUGUACAUAUCCCUAGAAGUAAAACCAGUACCCUCAUAACCACCAUGGUCUCUCUCCAUUAUAUCCAUCACUUGAUGCUGAUGCAAACCUACAUCUCUCAAUUCUACCAUCUUAGCCUGUUCUGCAGGAGUUAUUCUACGAUGUGAGCGGAGAAAUGGCACUUGAUCACCUUUACACAACGGAUGGUUAUGCUUCGACACAAACCUAACGACAUACCAGUUACCUUCUUUCUGAUAUAGUUUAAUCUCAAACUGAGCUUUGCAACCACAACGAGUUAGUGCCUGUGGCUCCCUACUUCUGUUGGAAACAUCCAUAUAUAACUCCUUUCUAAAUCCUUCCCUUGAGCAUGUGAAUCUACGAUGAAUUAUUAUCCCACUAAAACGAUCACGCCUGCAGUAAUCCUUCCUUACACUAAAACCUCUCUCUCUAGCAUACUUAUUGUAGAACUGAAAACCAUGCAACUCACUAGGAAAUUUCAUGCCUAUUAUCGUAGCAUACUCUUCCUGCUCCUCAAUACUGCUACCACCGCCUUCCAUUGCACACAACACAGUAAACCUGCCAAUAAGUAUGACCACUUUCGUGACUACUUCAUGCAUUGCUUCAACUAGAAAAUGAACUACAAACAACAAUACAAAUGUUGCACAUAUCAUUUUUAGUGCUUGCUAAUUACCUGCGGUUGAGGGCGUACUGACAGCUAGGGCGGCGGCGUCAAUGUUCCACAGUUGUCCCAGCGAUGCUGGCGUCUUCCGGUUGGAUGCGACAGCCAAUGGGGCUGGGUGGAGGCGACGGCCGAUGUGCCGUGCUAGAGGCGGCGAGUUGUAUGCGACGCCGGGUGGCGGCGGCGACGGCCGGAACCCUCGAUGCGACGGCGGCCGCGGCGGCUCGAUGCGACGGCCGGAACCCUCGAUGCGACGGCGGCCGCGGGGGCUCGAUGCGAUGGCCGGAACCCUCGAUGCGCCGGCGGCCGCGGCGGCUCUCUGCGAUGGCGGGUGAGGGAAGACAGCGACGGCAGCCACUACGGUCUCGAUCUACUUGCGACAGCGGCAGAUGCGAACGAAGAGAAGAAACAGAAGCAGAAGGAAGAGACCAAGUGAUUGGUUAGCAGGGCGGUGAUUAGCGGCAGGGCUCAAACCCGAUCUUACGAUCUUACCCCUGCUAAAUUAACGGCUAGAUUAGAUUGGUACCUCGUACCUCAUGGCACCUCCUCAAGGACAGUAAAAAUGCUCAAAUGCUCCAAUUAUAAACCCUGAUGGAUAGGAUAAGAGUGGAACAACUUUUGCAACAGUUUAUAUAAUUUAGUUCAUUCAUUUGGCUCUUUCGCCUAAUUAUUCUGCUCUCCAGAUUGUCGUAAUCAAAUAUCUUAUCACAUCAAAUGCAAAAAGGUAAUGGCCUGAUUUUUUUUAGAGACAAAAUGGCCUAGCUAAUUGGUGGAGAGGGAAUAUUGGUGCUGAAGCUGUUUCUGCGUGCAUCAGUGUCAGUCAGCACACAAAAGCACAAGCGAAGAGUUAUUAAAAACAUUCGAUCAUAAAUGGAUCCACAUAACAUAGUACCAGAAAUGAACCAGUAAAUUACAUGAAUCAAUUAAGUGUCUUCCACUCAGAUACCAGUAUAGAUGUACCAAGUAUAGUGAUACUCGUGCACGCUGGUUAAUUAGAUACUCGUUGCCGGUUCUAACUUAGUUGGGGCAGCCAUCUGGGUUGUUGUAAACUCAGGAGGUGUUGGUAAGUUGGGUGAGAGUGAUAGGCUUGCCUGUAGCCUCCUUGAGAUUGAAGGAGCUGAAGCCCUCGGUGAGAGGUUCACCAUCUCCAGUGCCUGCAUCCUGAGCUGCAUUGGAUAGUCCUUCACACAUCCAAUCCUUGGACCAGCCCCAGUGCUCCAUUUCAGGGACAACUUGUGGCCAAGCUGAUAGGAUCUUGAUUCCCUCUUGGAUUUCACCCUCUCAAGAAUCGCUUUCCGCGGGACGUCGAUGGUGGCUCUAGGGCUUUGUAGCCCACCUGAUAAGGUUCUUUGGUAGGUUGGCUUUGCUUGCUCUGUGGCAGCAUUGUCGCCUUCGGCACCUUCAACUUGUGAAGAUGACCCAGAUGCCUUGUUUUCUAGUACCAUGUUUUGUGGGAGAAUCAAUUGUGGAGGAUUGGAUUCAAUGAUGGCAGUGAUAGGGCUCUGAACUUUAUUAGGAACUGGUUCUUCAUACUAAGCAUCAUCGUCGGAUGGGCGCACCUGAAUAUAUACACAAAUAAGAACUCAUUGAUUGAAACCAUGCAUUUGAUAUAUUUCAUAAAUACUUAGCCUGAAAUAUGGUGUACCACGUUGUUGAGAUCAACUCCAUUCUCCUCUAGGAAGUUCAUGAAGUUGCUGAGGUUCUCUGCACUUGGUUUGUAGUGACCACUAUAGGCCCAGAUGGACUGAAAUCAGAAUAGAUCAUCAGAGAUAGAAAAAAGUGCUGAUUAAUGCACCCAAGGAACAGAAUCAUGAACAAGUCAUAUGAAAAUUAUCAAAAUGUUCUCUUAUAAUGUGCUUGCGACCAGAAGAUUAGAUAAUCCAUUCUGAUGUCCUUGUAAGUCGUAACUAAGUAAAUUGAUCAAAGAAAAAAAAAUCUGAAGAAUCUUGUGGGAGUUAUAUUGGGAAAAUGCGAUAAUGUAAGUAGAUAUUUUGAUUUAGCAACGAUAAAAGAUAGGUAAAUUUAAAUGACCAGUUUGAUCCACUAUACAAAUUUCAACCACUUACGCGAAAAUAUUUAUAAAAUCCAUCCAGGCAUUGUCUAAUAUUUGUCACAAAAGGAUAUGCAUGCUAAACUGUCAUAUCAGGAAAGUAAAAUGCAGUGCACAAACAAUAAUGAACCUUGAUAACUCCAUUUUCUGCUGUAAACCUCCCAGCAGCUAUGGUAGCACCUCCUGCUAAAAAGCUCGAGUGCUGGAACACACCUUUCUCUUUCUGCAUGAAUAAAUCAGCUUAUAUAUAUGAGUAAAUAUUUAUAGAGAUGCUAAUUAAGCUACCAGCUUAUAUGAGUAAAUCAGCACUAACGAACACAAAAUCCUUAUGGCACGGAGAAAAUUAAACCACCUUGCCAGCAUAAAGUCUCUUCGUUGUGCUCAUAACAAAAAUCCACUUUGACCCUUGGCUUGUAUCAAGGGGUUCUUCAGAGUACUUAUGGAUAAUCUUUCCUUUUGUAAUGAUGUAUUCAUAUUGCUCACGCUCUUGCUGCAAAACAUGCAUCAGAUAUAUAUAAUUGUUAGAACCAUCUGUAGGUAGGAAGCAAAAAUAUAGAUCUCACUAACAAUAUUUUCAUGUUACAAUUUUGUAGGUUGCUGAAUUUAAUGGUUUGUUUCAGUUGUCAAGGAUUAUAUAUGCAGCAACUAUAGAAAUGAUCUUACCGGACCAAGAUAUUUUAUGCAUUGCUUCUUCAGCUGAGCUCUUGGACACUCAGGAAGGUCAACAUCUUUUCCCUCCCCAAUAUCAAGCCUACAUUUGCAAAAAGAACAUUACUGAAAUCACUGCACAAUCAAACCACUUACUGAAAUUUAUGUGAUUCAGUGCAACACUGAACUUAAUGCAUUCUAUUUGCAAAUUAAUCUCUUUUUGUCAGACACAUCCAACCAGUUUAAUUAUUCCAAUGACAUGGAGUAGUUUGCAAAUGCAAGCACACAAAUCACAGUCAACUUCUCACCAGUAGAAAAAAGGCUGGCCGGCCUGGCUUUGGCACCAGACAUCAUAGUAGCACUGCAGAUUGUGACCAUAUCUAUGCCGUGGGUCAAUCUAUACAACGAAUGAUAAUUGCUGUCAUAAUUGCAUAUGUGCAUCAAAAGUUUCACAUAAUGAACGAAAAAAAGCAGAAGCAGAAGCUUCCAUCACGCCAUCAUGAUAAGCUGUGAAGCUUUCUCAUGAGCGAUGAUGUAUUCAUGCUCACACCUGACGAACUACAAGUCCAAUUAAGUCAACUGAUAGCAGCCUCUUUUCACGUGUAUAUAUAUAAUAAAACAAUAAAACAAAUACCAUUAAUUUCUGAACCAUAAAGGUACUAGUAAUACACUAAUACCUGAUCAAGUAAAGAACACUGGUAAAAAAAAAACACUAGUAGAUUUGUACUGUUGUACUUACAGCCUCGAUCCAGUGCUGGAAUGCCAGCUUCCGAGCCUUGGCGUCUCUUGAUAAACCCUGACCCACCUGCAUCAAAGCUCAGAUUUUUUACAGCAAUUUCGACACAAACAGAAGAUUAAUCAAGGAGAUGCAGACCAGACAAACCAAAAGAAUGCCUCCUUUUUUUCUUAACCAAAAGAAUGCCUUCUUUUUUUCUUGUGGAAUUUUGUGGUAGGCUGCAGGUAGCAGCAACUGAGAAACGGAAGGAAGUAGGAGACCUUGGAAGCAAUGAUGCUGACACGGCUCCAGCGGGAGGCGACGGUCUCCGGGUUAGGGUCGUGGAAGGAGAUGGUGCUGUAGCUCAGCCGCGCGUAGUCCAGCGCUUGCCACCUUCAAACAAUCCAACCCACAAACUUAAUUUCUCGGUUAAAAAAUUUGAUUACUUUUAGAUUUCUAUUUUCUCUACACAAAUUAAACAGUUUGAAACUUUGAAUGGAUGCAGGAUGCUCAUGCCAUAAUCUCAAAGUCCGGAGGCUAAGUUCCAAACAGAUUAUUGAGCAAAUAGUUGUCACCGAUUAUCUACUUGAUUAUUAAGAUAAAUUAGAUAUUUUUGAUAUAUAAACUUAAUAGAUAACUUAAAAACAAUGAGUAAAACGCAUAAAACGGUCCUUAAAUUUGUAGGGUUGUGACAUCUAGGUUCCUAAACUCACAAAAUACAGAUUUAGGUCUCAGAACUUGUCAAAGUGUAUCAUUUAGGUCCCAAAUCGACACAAUCCCUAUAUGAUCCUAUGUGGCGCUGAUGUGGCAUGCCAUAUGGACGUGACGUGUCCUUUUCUUCUUUUUUCCUAACUUUUUCUUCUUUUUCUUUUUUGUUUUCUUCUCAUUCUUAUUUUUUCCCCUCUCUUCUAUUCGGGUCACAGAGAAAGGAGAAGGAAACAAAAGAGAAGAUGGAGAAAAAGAUAAGAAAAUAAGAAAAAAGAAAAGGUAAAAUUUGUUCGUGUGGCAUGCCACAUCAGUGCCACGUAGGAUCCUAUAGGAGCUGUGGCGAUUUGGGACCUAGAUGACACACUAUGACAAGUUCCGGAAAUUCGAUAUGCAUUUUGAGAGUUUAGUGACCUAGAUGACACAUCCCUAUAAGUUUAAGGACCGCCUAUACACUUUACUCUAAAAACAAGUGGUCCAAGUAAUAUAGGUAAGUAAUAUAAAUAAUAUAAAAUGCAUUAUUCAAAGCGUAGAGUAAAUAUUCACUUCAUCUUAAUUUGAUCAUCCCAUAAACGAAGACCACGAAAACCAAGAACACCAAAACAUCUACCAUUCUAAAAUUAGGUACUCCAUUGUUUCGUGUCCAACAAAAAAAAUUAAUUCACUUUAAAUGUUGCGCACAUAGUAUUUCAGGAUGUACAUUUACUCUUUGCAUAAAUAAACAAAAGAAACACUUUGUUAAUUAGAUGAUGAUUAUUUUGGAAAAACCUAAAAAAUCUUAGGUGAUAAUCCAAUAAAUAAUCUGAAAAGAACAACUAAGUGCACAAAGUUCGACUUAAUAACUUAAACCGAUGAGCAAAGAUAUUCCACAUGAAGGUUGGUGAAGAAUCCGGUUAAUUAAUCAUCACCAGAGCUCCUCGACGACG